Molecule: unclassified non-coding RNA, 272 nt
Filed under: Hevea brasiliensis (rubber tree)
Lineage: Eukaryota; Viridiplantae; Streptophyta; Magnoliopsida; Malpighiales; Euphorbiaceae
Source: RNAcentral
CGGCCUUCGAGAUCGCGUAGGCGCCGAGAAUGGUCGAGCCCUUCAGGCCGCCGAUGGACGAGACGAUGAUGAUCGAGCCGUCCUUGCGCGCGAUCAUCUGCGNACCAUGCUGAUAAUCCAGUUGUUGGCGACGAUGUUGUUGCCGAGAAUCUUGCUGAACUGAUCGUCGGAGAUACCCGCGAGCGGCCCAUAGUACGGGUUCGACGCCGCGUUGCAGACCAGCACAUCGAUCUUGCCGUAGGCGCGGUUGGCUUCGUCGACCAGGUUCUGGA